UGAGUGCCACUGAGGAAGGUUCUCUCUCUGGAGAUUUCUCUUCUUGGAGUCUUUUCAGUGAGCCCAGGACAUGGCAGACGGAGAAGAGAAGAAGCACCUGCCUGCCCUCCCUCUCAAGCCCCCUGGUUUGUCUACUUAAUUUGCUGCAAAAUUGGAGGAAGCUCUAGAAAAAGUGGCUGGUUCAACUCACUGGACUUUGGCAAAUCACUUGGUCUGUGUCAGUUUCCCAGGUGCUAUCUGCAGAGAAGAUUGUAAACCUUGAAAUCAGCCUAAAUCUGGAGCUGCUUUUCCACAUGGAAUAAAAUCAAUGACCUUUCAUUCCACUGUUCACUUUCAAGGCAGGGGAACUUCUGGAUACAGCUCGUAAAUACCUGUUUCAGUGAAAAUUCACAACACUGGUACCAAUGCACCCUUCUUUCAAGCUGAGUUAUGAAAGAAGCCCUACUGCAGAAAACAAAUGAUUGAAACGUGUUACUGAAGCCAGUCGUCAAGGCCAGUGUUUCUAUAGGUCUUCAGGAAGUGACACAUUCUUGGAAGUUUUGAAUGGAUUAAGCAGAAAUGGAUGAGAGGAAUAAAUAUUUUCAAGUUCUACGGUUCACAGAAUUUUGUAUGUACUGAACAAGCUCAGCAGUAAAGAAUGCUUAGAGGGAAGACGUAAUGGGCUAAUUUUUUUCCCCCCAUCUUUUUACAGUCAGUUCUGUGUCAAAAUUUUAUUUUUUCUGAGAUCUGAAAGAAUUGUACUGUUGCUUAACAUGUAGAAAACAGAGAACUGAGUUAAUAUGGAUUUUUCUGUUGCUUGAACAAGGCCUGUUGAUGGCAAGUCUGAAAUAAGCUUGUGAAUGAAGUGAAAUAGAGGACCGAACUUUUUCUACCUCCUGACCAGAAAGGGUAGAACAGUUACCCACCGGAAACUUUGUGUUUCAAAUGGGAAUAAAAGCCAGAGCUAUUGCAGUGAACUUGUCUGUCCUUGUAGAGGUAGUGCACACAGGACAACAACAUCAGAACGUAACAAGAUGACUGAUGGGAUAACUGUGGUUCCCUUUCCUUGGGUAGGAUGAGGCCACCUACCACUACAGAACCUUCAAUACGGGGCCCAAACAUAACUGGCAGAAAUAUAGUGUUUAUAUAUAUAGAAAUUAAUUUUUUAAUCUUCUCAAUAAGUGAAAAAGAUCAGAUAAUCAAACUUGUGAAGUAAAAAAUUGAUGCUCUUUUUUUACUUGUACGUCUAUGUUUUUGUGAUACAAAUAAUUGGUAGUAGAAAUCUUCUGGGUCUCUUGUUUACUGUUUUAUAAAGUACUAUGCCAAUACCUGUGUGGCUGAUUCUGGAGGGUGUCUUGAUUUUGAUGGUGUGUUUCCAUGUGCAGAACAUAGUCACUUCAUUGGUGACAAUUGUGUGGUAAAACAAACUUUGUGUGCUGCCUAAAUGCAUGAUCCUUUGCCCUUUGGGAGCUUCGGUAUUUGAAUUAAAUUUUCUUCAUUAGUCUAUUAACAUUUUGUUUGGAAGGGUACAGCAUUAUCCCCAUCCACUACAGAAGCCAGCAGUUAGGCUACUCAGAAAGAUGGUUAUGCUUCCAGUAUGAGAGAGUUACAGGUUUCUCCAUCCAGGGUUAGCUCAGAGGGUCACUAUAGCAGCAGGAGGCACAGGCUCAGACAGUGAGCAAGCAGAAUGGAGUGAGGCAUCUGGAAAAAAAACAAAACAAGUACGCUGAACAUCUAAUUUGUUCUUGUUUUUGCGAGUUAAGUGAUGUAGGCAUAAAAACCAGAAUUUUCAGUUUGCAGCACCUAUGUUUGUCCUAAUAGGCCCCGCGCAUAAAUAGAUUCAGUGAAGUGCUUAAUGUAAGCUUUUCUAUGCUUGGAUUGGGCAAUCACAUGUUUCUCAGCUGAGUGCAAAUACAGUCCAUUAUUUUCUAAACGGGCUUGAAAUUCAUGAAUACAGCAAACACCCAAGAUGAAGUGGAUUAUCUCUUUCAUUUUCUAUGCCUGCUUUUCACCUUAGCAAUCUUCUUUCCUUCUAACUUAUUUUUAUCUUUAUGUAAUUUCCACACAUAUACAAAGGCUUCACUGUAUAUAGCUUUCUUGUUAUGCUCUAAUGUUCAGAGGUUUGUGAAACUGUUUCAGAAGAUGUGAGUAUACAAGAUCUUUGAAGUCUUGCUCAGAAUGAAAGGAGUUGCAGUGCUAUUACCAAUGCUGAUAUUUUGAUGAAGUGAUGCAUCUUCUGAUCCAAACAGGCUAUUCUGCAGUCUUUGCAUCUGAGACGUAAAUUUAUAUUUCUAAAUGUUUCUAAAUCUAUGUGACUACACAAAAUGUUUUAUAAUAGUUUUCUUUGUGUCUAAGUGUUUUGCUUUGUGUGGUGCCAGAUGAAGGACACUUUCUAAACUAGCAUAUGUUGUAGCAUUAUGUGUCUGAUCUGUAUGGAUUACCAUAGCUUCUUAAUCUGACUGUACAUAACUAUCUUAAAAGCUGUAUACUAAAAGGCUAAAGUGUAAUAUUUAGGGCACUUUGCAGGUAAAUGUGUAAUGUAUAUCUUAAGGUGGUAACCACAGCUGCAGCGACACUUCACAAUUAAUAAUAAUAAUAAUAAUAAUAAAUGAUUAAUUGCUAAU
Gallus gallus (chicken) is the source of this 2603-nucleotide long non-coding RNA. The record is from Ensembl. NCBI's taxonomy places the organism in Eukaryota, Metazoa, Chordata, Aves, Galliformes, Phasianidae.